GAUGAACGCUGGCGGCGUGCCUAAUACAUGCAAGUCGAGCGAACGGACGAGAAGCUUGCUUCUCUGAUGUUAGCGGCGGACGGGUGAGUAACACGUGGAUAACCUACCUAUAAGACUGGGAUAACUUCGGGAAACCGGAGCUAAUACCGGAUGAUAUUUUGAACCGCAUGGUUCAAAAGUGAAAGACGGUCUUGCCGUCACUUAUAGAUGGAUCCGCGCUGCAGUAGCUAGUUGGUAAGGUAACGGCUUACCAAGGCAACGAUGCAUAGCCGACCUGAGAGGAUGAGCAGCCACACAAGAGCAGAAGCACGGACCAGACGAAGACGGGAGGCAGCAGUGGGGAAUAGGGCAGAAGGGGCGAAAGACGGAGCCACCCAGGCCGCGGGGGUGAAGAAGGUAGUAGGAUGCUAAAGCACUUUUAAAAGGGAAGAAAAAAAGGGAGCGAAUAACUUCGUGGCAUGAAGGGACCAAAAGAAAGGCCGCCGCCCAAACUCGGG
RNAcentral lists this ribosomal RNA (497 nucleotides) under uncultured bacterium. RNAcentral's name for it is "partial 16S ribosomal RNA". It matches the Rfam family "Bacterial small subunit ribosomal RNA", at positions 28 to 507 of the family's 1533-position model. The record is from RNAcentral.